This 512-nucleotide ribosomal RNA is filed under the name uncultured Coxiella sp. Its description in RNAcentral is "bacterial SSU rRNA". It matches the Rfam family "Bacterial small subunit ribosomal RNA", at positions 26 to 527 of the family's 1533-position model. Lineage: Bacteria; Pseudomonadati; Pseudomonadota; Gammaproteobacteria; Legionellales; Coxiellaceae. The record is from RNAcentral.
UAGAACGAACGCUGGCGGCAAGCCUAACACAUGCAAGUCGAACGGCAGCGCGGGAAGCUUGCUUCCUGGCGGCGAGUGGCGGACGGGUGAGUAACACGUAGGAAUCUACCUUGUAGUGGGGGAUAACCCGAGGAAACUCGGGCUAAUACCGCAUAAUUUCUUCGGAACAAAACGGGGGAUCUUCGGACCUCGUGCUACAAGAUGAGCUUGCGUCGGAUUAGCUAGUUGGUAGAGGUAAUGGCCUACCAAGGCGACGAUCCGUAGCUGGUCUGAGAGGACGAUCAGCCACACUGGGACUGAGACACGGCCCAGACUCCUACGGGAGGCAGCAGUGGGGAAUAUUGGACAAUGGGGGAAACCCUGAUCCAGCAAUGCCGCGUGUGUGAAGAAGGCCUUCGGGUUGUAAAGCACUUUCAGUGGGGAAGAAAGUCUCAAGGCUAAUACCCUUGGGCGUUGACGUUACCCACAGAAGAAGCACUGGCUAACUCUGUGCCAGCAGCCGCGGUAAUACG